AGUGAACGCUGGCGGUAGGCCUAACACAUGCCAGUCGAACGGCAGCACAGUAAGAGCUUGCUCUUACGGGUGGCGAGUGGCGGACGGGUGAGGAAUACAUCGGAAUCUACUUUUUCGUGGGGGAUAACGUAGGGAAACUUACGCUAAUACCGCAUACGACCUACGGGUGAAAGCAGGGGAUCUUCGGACCUUGCGCGAUUGAAUGAGCCGAUGUCGGAUUAGCUAGUUGGCGGGGUAAAGGCCCACCAAGGCGACGAUCCGUAGCUGGUCUGAGAGGAUGAUCAGCCACACUGGAACUGAGACACGGUCCAGACUCCUACGGGAGGCAGCAGUGGGGAAUAUUGGACAAUGGGCGCAAGCCUGAUCCAGCCAUACCGCGUGGGUGAAGAAGGCCUUCGGGUUGUAAAGCCCUUUUUGUUGGGAAAGAAAGGCAGCAGGUUAAUACCCCGCUGUUCUGACGGUACCCAAAGAAUAAGCACCGGCUAACUUCGU
RNAcentral lists this ribosomal RNA (492 nucleotides) under uncultured bacterium. Its description in RNAcentral is "partial 16S ribosomal RNA". It matches the Rfam family "Bacterial small subunit ribosomal RNA", at positions 29 to 506 of the family's 1533-position model. The record is from RNAcentral.